GGGCAGCGACAGCAAUCCCCGCACGCCUCUUCAAGGGUCGGAACGAGCGGGGGCUCGUCCGCAGUCGGUUCUCCUGUGUUGGAUACCCGUCUUGACGGCAUUCGGUUGGUAGAAACGGUCCCAUCUCCGUCCAGCGCYGCUGCUCCGUGUGGGCAGCGUGAGCCGGAYGRAUCYCACGGCACGCAUCGCGUCUCGCCCCACACYUGCCUGUUCGYUMGGGCAGUUGGGCUGGCGAACCAYGAUGMAUUGCCCGUUGUCUCGGGUAYGGAAUAUCGGGUGGAUACGGGACCUCWGUCCCGGAUUGCACAAAUAAAUAAUGCGUUCCACGCUCUUGCGAACGACUGUCGGCCCGAUCCCCGGCUAAGCCCCCGUGGCCAGGCCGGAUUCGUGCAGGCGUCKGUGACGGAUGCUACCUGGUUGAUCCUGCCAGUAGUCAUAUGCUUGUCUCAAAGAUUAAGCC
RNAcentral lists this unclassified non-coding RNA (460 nucleotides) under Coleus thyrsoideus. RNAcentral's name for it is "Plectranthus thyrsoideus partial contains external transcribed spacer and 18S ribosomal RNA". The stretch from base 411 to 460 matches the Rfam family "Eukaryotic small subunit ribosomal RNA", at positions 1 to 50 of the family's 1831-position model. Lineage: Eukaryota; Viridiplantae; Streptophyta; Magnoliopsida; Lamiales; Lamiaceae. The record is from RNAcentral.